This 253-nucleotide ribosomal RNA is filed under the name uncultured bacterium. RNAcentral describes it as "partial 16S ribosomal RNA". It matches the Rfam family "Bacterial small subunit ribosomal RNA", at positions 524 to 776 of the family's 1533-position model. The record is from RNAcentral.
GACAGAGGGUGCAACCGUUGUUCGGAAUCACUGGGCGUAAAGCGCGUGUAGGUGGCUUGGUAAGUCGGGCGUGAAAUCCCGGGGCUCAACCCCGGAAGUGCACUCGAUACUUCCUCGCUAGAGUCCUGGAGAGGAAGGUGGAAUACUUGGUGUAGAGGUGAAAUUCGUAGAUAUCAAGUAGAACACCGGUGGCGAAGGCGGCCUUCUGGACAGUGACUGACGCUGAGACGCGAAAGCGUGGGGAGCAAACAGG